CUUCACACAUUUGGAGUGAAAUCAUGUGCACAUGCGAAUCCAAAGCACCCGGUGUGAUGAUCAUAUGUUCACCAGCAAUUACUUCUGUGCACGACCCAAUCACCAUACCUGGGGUGACCGAGGCCAUGGUGUCUGGGUUCCCCGACUUACCGAUGCCGGCGAUCAGACCAUCCUUGAUACCGAUAUCGGCUUUGAUGAUACCCUGGUAAUCAAUGAUCAUGGCAUUGGUAAUCACAGUAUCCAAAACAUCUUCGGCAGGACGGCCGACCGAUUGGCCCAUACCAUCACG
This 289-nucleotide small RNA is filed under the name Malassezia pachydermatis. RNAcentral's name for it is "5' ureB small RNA". It matches the Rfam family "5' ureB small RNA". Lineage: Eukaryota; Fungi; Basidiomycota; Malasseziomycetes; Malasseziales; Malasseziaceae. The record is from Rfam by way of RNAcentral.